AGGAGCGAAGGCCUUUUCUUGCAUCAGAGUGUAAUGAGCUGCCCAAAGCUGAGAAAUGGAGGAGACAGAUCAUUGGGGAGAUUUCCAAGAAAGUGGCACAGAUCCAAAAUGCUGGAUUGGGUGAAUUCAGAAUUCGGGACCUGAACGAUGAAAUAAACAAACUUCUGAGGGAGAAAGGACAUUGGGAGUACAGAAUAAAGGAGCUGGGAGGUCCUGAUUAUGCUAGGAUUGGCCCAAAAAUGUUAG
Non-coding RNA from Cyanistes caeruleus (blue tit), 246 nucleotides. NCBI's taxonomy places the organism in Eukaryota, Metazoa, Chordata, Aves, Passeriformes, Paridae. The record is from RefSeq and is a predicted model, not a curated record.